Molecule: transfer RNA, 80 nt
Filed under: Pseudomonadota bacterium
Lineage: Bacteria; Pseudomonadati; Pseudomonadota
Description: Proteobacteria bacterium tRNA-Val
Source: RNAcentral
UUCUGGGUAAAUGAGAGAAUACUGUGCCAGACGGGCUCACAACCCGAAGGUCGCAGGUUCAAAUCCUGCCCCAGCCACCA